Molecule: RNase P RNA, 363 nt
Filed under: Clostridiales bacterium
Lineage: Bacteria; Bacillati; Bacillota; Clostridia; Eubacteriales
Description: RNase P RNA component class A
Rfam family: Bacterial RNase P class A
About the family: Ribonuclease P (RNase P) is a ubiquitous endoribonuclease, found in archaea, bacteria and eukarya as well as chloroplasts and mitochondria. Its best characterised activity is the generation of mature 5'-ends of tRNAs by cleaving the 5'-leader elements of precursor-tRNAs. Cellular RNase Ps are ribonucleoproteins.
Source: RNAcentral
CGAGUAAGUCAGACAGUCGCGUGCACCGGUGCCGAAAGGCCGUGCAUGAGGAAAGUCCGGGCUCCGCAGGGCAGGAUUGUGGGUAACGCCCACCAAAGGCGACUUUAGGGACAGUGCAACAGAGAGAUACCGCCGGAGCAAUCCGGUAAGGGUGGAAAGGCGGGGUAAGAGCCCACCGGCGCCCAGGUGACUGGGCGGCCAUGCAAACCCAAUUCGGAGCAACACCGCAUCGAACGGUCCGGCUUUGCCGGACAGUGCUUGCCCGGCACAGGUUCAGGUAGGUGGCAAGAGCCGCUUGUCAACAGGCGGCCUCAGAUAGAUGACUGUCGAAUACAGAACCCGGCUUACAGACUUGGUCGCACA